GCUGCUAGCCCCCCACCUUGCCCAGUGGGAAGCCAGGGCAUAGACACGGAGGAGAGUACAAAGCAUCCGCAGGGACCAGUAAACAGAGAAGAGUAGCCACAGAAGGAGGAAGCAAAGUGGAAGCAAAGUGCCAUAGGAGGUUGAAAAGGUGCUCUAUGCUUUAUAUCCAUGAUUUCUAAACCUGACGGAUCAUCAGCCUUGCUUGGAUACUUCCUACAGUGCAGAGUCUUGGGCUUUGCUCCGGCCCUAGAAGGGCUGAUUCAGUCAUGACUGAUGUUAGGCCGGCCCAGAGGCAGGGAGAUGCCCAAGAUGACCUGCAAACGUUCCUUCCC
This is a long non-coding RNA of Suricata suricatta (meerkat), 332 nucleotides long. RefSeq lists it as uncharacterized. Lineage: Eukaryota; Metazoa; Chordata; Mammalia; Carnivora; Herpestidae. The record is from RefSeq and is a predicted model, not a curated record. The transcript is spliced from 3 exons.